UGUCACAUAUUUCUUCUUUACAUGACGUUAACUGUUCAUAUUGUUCCAAUCAAAACAUGUAGAAACUUUGCAAGAAGAAUCAACAGAUUCCACAAAAUCAAAUUCCUCAUAACAGAGGUGCUAAGAGUUUGGUUAGAAGAAGAGCUGAAAUGAGGACAAACGGAAAAGAUGUUGAUCGAGGUAAAAUGUGGACUGAGACUCAUAAGACAAAAGAUGGAAGUUAUGUAACUGAGGCGGCUAGAGAGAUUGGGGCCUCAUAUGUAGAAAAUGGUGCUCAUUAGUCACCAAUUGGACCAACCAUCUGUUAGAAUAUUCAGAUGAACGUAAAAAUGGAGGACUAAGUAUAAACUAGAAAUCAUUUUUAGUAUAUUUUUUGGACAUUUUCUUUUAAUGACACUUGAAUUUGGUGUUUUGAUGAUGUAAUUUUGAAUUUUUAAAUAACACUUUAAAUUGGUAUUUU
Long non-coding RNA from Solanum pennellii, 460 nucleotides. RefSeq lists it as uncharacterized. The transcript is spliced from 3 exons. The record is from RefSeq and is a predicted model, not a curated record. NCBI's taxonomy places the organism in Eukaryota, Viridiplantae, Streptophyta, Magnoliopsida, Solanales, Solanaceae.